AAACUUAAAGGAAUUGACGGGGGCCCGCACAAGCGGUGGAGCAUGUGGUUCAAUUCGACGCAACGCGAAGAACCUUACCAGCCCUUGACAUGUCCAGGACCGGUCGCAGAGACGCGACCUUCUCUUCGGAGCUUGGAACACAGGUGCUGCAUGGCUGUCGUCAGCUCGUGUCGUGAGAUGUUGGGUUAAGUCCCGCAACGAGCGCAACCCUCGUCCUUAGUUGCCAUCAUUAAGUUGGGCACUCUAAGGAGACUGCCGGUGAUAAGCCGCGAGGAAGGUGGGGAUGACGUCAAGUCCUCAUGGCCCUUACGGGCUGGGCUACACACGUGCUACAAUGGCGGUGACAAUGGGCAGCGAACCAGCAAUGGGGAGCUAAUCUCAAAAAGCCGUCUCAGUUCGGAUUGCACUCUGCAACUCGAGUGCAUGAAGUUGGAAUCGCUAGUAAUCGUGGAUCAGCAUGCCACGGUGAAUACGUUCCCGGGCCUUGUACACACCGCCCGUCACACCAUGGGAGUUGGUUUUACCUUAAGACGGUGCGCUAACCGCAAGGAAGCAGCCGGCCACGGUAAGGUCAGCGACUGGGGUGAAGUCGUAACAAGGUAGCCGUAGGGGAACCUGCGGCUGGAUCACCUCCUUUAUG
RNAcentral lists this ribosomal RNA (640 nucleotides) under uncultured Methylobacteriaceae bacterium. Its description in RNAcentral is "bacterial SSU rRNA". It matches the Rfam family "Bacterial small subunit ribosomal RNA", at positions 897 to 1533 of the family's 1533-position model. Lineage: Bacteria; Pseudomonadati; Pseudomonadota; Alphaproteobacteria; Hyphomicrobiales; Methylobacteriaceae. The record is from RNAcentral.